ACUCCUCUCAGACCGAAACAAACAAAUCGAAGUAAAACGACGACUCCUUCUGCGUUUCAUCUCUCGCUUCGAACCUCUUCGUUCUUCAAACCUAAGGCCUAGAGUAGGGAAUCGAAGAUACCAGGUAGACGGUAGACGAUUAAGCAGAGGGAGAGAAGAAUCCAGAUUCAGAGAGAGGAG
Molecule: non-coding RNA, 180 nt
Organism: Vicia faba (fava bean)
Lineage: Eukaryota; Viridiplantae; Streptophyta; Magnoliopsida; Fabales; Fabaceae
Source: the annotation of a GenBank genome assembly